GACGGAGGGGGCAAGCGUUGUUCGGAAUUAUUGGGCGUAAAGGGCUCGUAGGCGGAUCUGUAAGUCUGACGUGAAAUCUACACCGCUCACCGGGUAGCUUGCGUUGGAUACUGCAGAUCUGGAGUUCGGUAGAGGGUCGUGGAAUUUCGGGUGUAGCGGUGGAAUGCGUAGAUAUCCGAAAGAACACCGGUGGCGAAGGCGGCGACCUGGGCCUGAACUGACGCUGAGGUACGAAAGCGUGGGUAGCGAACAGG
This 254-nucleotide ribosomal RNA is filed under the name uncultured bacterium. RNAcentral describes it as "partial 16S ribosomal RNA". It matches the Rfam family "Bacterial small subunit ribosomal RNA", at positions 524 to 776 of the family's 1533-position model. The record is from RNAcentral.